RNAcentral lists this ribosomal RNA (119 nucleotides) under Spirometra erinaceieuropaei. RNAcentral describes it as "partial 16S ribosomal RNA". The record is from RNAcentral. Lineage: Eukaryota; Metazoa; Platyhelminthes; Cestoda; Diphyllobothriidea; Diphyllobothriidae.
GUUUGGUGGAACUUUUAAUUGGGUUGAUUGGUUUUAAUUGCCUUUUGCAUCAUGCUAUAUGGAUGUGGUUAGUAUAUGGGCUAUACACCGAAAAGUUUGGAUCUAGUAUCAAGUUGGUU